Non-coding RNA from Ictidomys tridecemlineatus (thirteen-lined ground squirrel), 69 nucleotides. The record is from Rfam. Lineage: Eukaryota; Metazoa; Chordata; Mammalia; Rodentia; Sciuridae.
GGGAUUGUGGCUCAGUGGUAGAGUGCUUGCCUACCAUGCAGGAGGCACUGGGUUUGAUCCUCAGCACCA